This 232-nucleotide ribosomal RNA is filed under the name uncultured bacterium. Its description in RNAcentral is "partial 16S ribosomal RNA". It matches the Rfam family "Bacterial small subunit ribosomal RNA", at positions 99 to 334 of the family's 1533-position model. The record is from RNAcentral.
CGGACGGGUGAGUAAUGUCUGGGAAACCGCCUGAUGGAGGGGGAUAACUACUGGAAACGGUAGCUAAUACCGCAUAACGUCUUCGGACCAAAGUGGGGGACCUUCGGGCCUCACGCCAUCGGAUGUGCCCAGAUGGGAUUAGCUAGUAGGUGGGGUAAUGGCUCACCUAGGCGACGAUCCCUAGCUGGUCUGAGAGGAUGACCAGCCACACUGGAACUGAGACACGGUCCAG